Molecule: long non-coding RNA, 538 nt
Organism: Amphibalanus amphitrite
Lineage: Eukaryota; Metazoa; Arthropoda; Thecostraca; Balanomorpha; Balanidae
Exons: 3
Source: RefSeq, a predicted model, not a curated record
AAUGGAUUUGCAAUCUGCAUUGUUGAUGGGGAGCAUUCCGGUCUAGGGGUCUUUCAAGGGCCAGCAUCUCCGCAGCAGCGGUAGCAGCGGCGGCGUCAUGUCUCACCUCCGCGGACUGGUGCGCUCGGUGUCCGCCGCCGCGCUGCUGACCCCCGCGCGGCCGGCGGCACCUCUGCGCACAGCCGUCACCCUCCCGACCGGCGGCGUGCGGCCCGAGCCCUACCGGAGUCGACUGGGUGUGGUGGGUGCGCUGUUCACCGUCAUACCUGGCCUGCUGCUCGGAGCGAGCAUCAGUAAAAACUUUGCCAGCUUCCUGGAGGAGAAUGACCUGUUUGUGCCGUCUGAUGACGACGAUGACGGCUGAUGACGGAAGACGGAUGACGCCGCCGCGUAGCUCGUUGUUCAUCUCUACCCCCGUGUUCUGAAGUCGGUGCCGUGCCUCUCGGGAGUGGGCGAUACCUCUCCUCCAAUGGCGACACAGCUCCGGCGUCAGCGGGUGGUGCCUAAUGUUAGUCCCUCGUGAUGUAUUGAGAGUCAG